Molecule: ribosomal RNA, 467 nt
Filed under: uncultured bacterium
Lineage: Bacteria
Description: bacterial SSU rRNA
Rfam family: Bacterial small subunit ribosomal RNA
Source: RNAcentral
UCCUACGGGGGGCAGCAGUCGAGAAUUUUUCACAAUGGGCGAAAGCCUGAUGGAGCGACGCCGCGUGGGGGAUGAAGGGCUUCGGCCCGUAAACCCCUGUCAUUUGCGAACAAUUCUUUUCCGAUAACACCGGAGAAGUUGAUGGUAGCGAAAGAGGAAGGGACGGCUAACUCUGUGCCAGCAGCCGCGGUAAUACAGAGGUCCCAAGCGUUGUUCGGAUUCACUGGGCGUAAAGGGUGCGUAGGUGGUGAGGUAAGUCGGAUGUGAAAUCUCUGAGCUCAACUCAGAAAUGGCAUUGGAAACUACCUUGCUUGAGGAUUGGAGGGGGGACUGGAAUUCUCGGUGUAGCAGUGAAAUGCGUAGAGAUCGAGAGGAACACCAGUGGCGAAGGCGAGUCCCUGGACAAUUCCUGACGCUGAGGCACGAAAGCUAGGGGAGCAAACAGGAUUAGAUACCCCGGUAGUCCG